CCUACGGGGGGCUGCAGUGAGGAAUAUUGGUCAAUGGGCGGGACCCUGAACCAGCCAAGCCGCGUGCGGGAAGAAGGUACAGCGUAUCGUAAACCUCUUUUGUCAGGGAACAAAGGCGGGGACUAGUCCCCGGAUGAGGGUACCUGAAGAAAAAGCAUCGGCGAACUCCGUGCCAGCAGCCGCGGUAAUACGGAGGAUGCGAGGUUUAUCCGGAUUUAUUGGGGUUAACGGGUGCUGAGGGGGCCUGUUAAGUCAGGGGAAACAGCCCGGGGCACAACCCGGGCGAGCCGUUGGAACUGGCGGGCUGAAGUUGGAGAGAAGUACGCGGAAUGCGCGGUGUAGCGGUGAAAUGGU
This 354-nucleotide ribosomal RNA is filed under the name uncultured bacterium. Its description in RNAcentral is "partial 16S ribosomal RNA". It matches the Rfam family "Bacterial small subunit ribosomal RNA", at positions 338 to 690 of the family's 1533-position model. The record is from RNAcentral.